RNAcentral lists this ribosomal RNA (253 nucleotides) under uncultured bacterium. RNAcentral's name for it is "partial 16S ribosomal RNA". It matches the Rfam family "Bacterial small subunit ribosomal RNA", at positions 524 to 776 of the family's 1533-position model. The record is from RNAcentral.
UACAGAGGUCUCAAGCGUUGUUCGGAUUCAUUGGGCGUAAAGGGUGCGUAGGUGGCGCCGUAAGUCGGGUGUGAAAUUUCGGAGCUUAACUCCGAAACUGCAUUCGAUACUGCGGUGCUUGAGGACUGGAGAGGAGACUGGAAUUCCGAGUGUAGAGGUGAAAUUCGUAGAUAUUCGGAAGAACACCAGUGGCGAAGGCGGCUCACUGGACCGGUAUUGACGCUGAGGUGCGAAAGCGUGGGGAGCAAACAGG